UUUCUUUUUAAAACAGUUGGAAUACAAGAUACCCAUCACACUGAUUUUAUGACUAAAAACAACAGAAAACAGAACAGUUCACUAUGUGAGGAUAUUACAUCUCAUCUGACCAUCAUAUUUUGCGCAUCAGAAUGGCUCGUUGGAGGCGGUUUUCAAGGUGAUCUUCACAAUGUCGCUGAGCCUUUCAGAAGCUGGGAGAGCCACAGAGCAACAGGGACAGAGCAACAAUCUAGAGAAGGAGAAGGAAGGGUGAAGUCUGUGCCUGUGUGACUGGGCACUAGCCCUGGAGAUAAGUUAUGAGAUCAAGGCCAAAUAGAAAAUAACAGUCAAAGUACAACUAUACGAGUCUGCUGAGUCUCCCUAACAAUAACACGAAAAAACAGCACACCAUCAUUUGAAGACAAUCCUGUGUGUCCGUUCUCUGGGAGCAAAAUAUGCAGUAUAAACUGGAGAAGAGCAAGGAAACUAUUCUCGUUAUAAGGGAGCAUGCAACGGAAGGAAGUAAAACAACUGACAAACUUGUGCUAUUGUGUCCUUUGUCGUGUUGGGGAAGCACAGUUGUUUGCACAAUGUUACAAGGACCAGCUAUUCUACAUGUCAAAUUAAGAACUAAAAGAGGUCAUGGAGAAGACGUAGAAGAUUAAGAUAUUUUGAUCUGCCGAAAACAAAUCUUUGUAUCUUUCUAAUUGUCCUAACAAUAAGCAUUUAAACUACAGUCACUUUAUAAAAUGUCAGAGGCUGCCAGCAAUGGUUUGAAAUAAAAGGUCUCCGCGUUGGAAAAUCUGUGAAUGGAGACGAGAAUUAAGUGGGACUAUAACCAUGUGACUGAUUCAGGGACACUAUAGCAACGUCGCAGAUCAAUACAGCCCAUAUUCAUACUGGGUUUUUGAUUUUCAGUUUGGAAAGAUACGGGAAUGUAAUAAAAUUGAAAAAUCAAUUCCCUAUAUGUAGAAGGUUUGCAUAGCAUAAUCACAAGAAAGGAUGUCAUGUGUCUUAUUGUAUUUUUGCACAAUAAAGCUUUUUAUUUAUAGUCAUUUGUAUAACUCCCACGGAAACAUAACGACGUGACAAUGGCAAGAAAACAGAGAAUUGUGUUACUGGGCAAGAGACGGAGAUGGAAAAGAUGUGGGAAUACAUUUUUGUCAAGAGAGUGAAAUAAGGAAACGAACUCAAGCAGGGCUGAGGGAAGCCUAUUGAUGGCAGGUUCAGUUCACUAAAGGAGAUGUGAGGAGGGAAGGGCAAAUGCUUAUAAUAUGUAUCAAUGUAUCAACAUCAAUCCGCCAUCUUAGAACGCGAUAUCGAUUUACUUUAUCUCAAUGACAUAUGGUUAAAUGCGCUUGUUUGUGCUGGGUGCAUAAUUGGACAGUCUAAACUACCAUCUUAGAUAACUUUAUAGUAAAUUAUCUACAGUCACACAUAGUCCCGUAAUUAGAAACAGACUAUUAAUGCACACAAAAGAUAGAAAGUACUUAAUAUUAGUCUGUCGGUCUGAGAGCGAGGGUACUGGCUAUUCUUGGGCGGUGCAACGAUUUACCGUAUAAAGUGUCUUGGGACGCUUGCUUAAUCUUGUAAAA
Brienomyrus brachyistius is the source of this 1574-nucleotide long non-coding RNA. RefSeq lists it as uncharacterized. NCBI's taxonomy places the organism in Eukaryota, Metazoa, Chordata, Actinopteri, Osteoglossiformes, Mormyridae. The transcript has 4 exons. The record is from RefSeq and is a predicted model, not a curated record.